Hibiscus syriacus is the source of this 198-nucleotide long non-coding RNA. RefSeq lists it as uncharacterized. NCBI's taxonomy places the organism in Eukaryota, Viridiplantae, Streptophyta, Magnoliopsida, Malvales, Malvaceae. The record is from RefSeq and is a predicted model, not a curated record. The transcript is spliced from 3 exons.
GGAGGAUAUUACCGAAAACCCAACUUUAAUAUCAAAGAACCAUGACCGUGCAUUUUUCGAUUCAGCUGAUUGGGCACUCAGAAAGCAAGGAGCAAAAAAGCCUAAAGGACCACUUGAAGCAUUGCGCCCCAAAUUACAGGUACUGAUAUGAGUUUCAUAUGCUUUCAAACCAAUAAACCAAAGUUAGAAAACCUAUCA